RNAcentral lists this ribosomal RNA (460 nucleotides) under uncultured bacterium. RNAcentral's name for it is "partial 16S ribosomal RNA". It matches the Rfam family "Bacterial small subunit ribosomal RNA", at positions 338 to 795 of the family's 1533-position model. The record is from RNAcentral.
CCUACGGGUGGCAGCAGUGAGGAAUAUUGGUCAAUGGACGGAAGUCUGAACCAGCCAUGCCGCGUGCAGGAAGACGGCUCUAUGAGUUGUAAACUGCUUUUGUACAAGGGUAAACCUGAAUACGUGUAUUCCGCUGAAAGUACUGUACGAAUAAGGAUCGGCUAACUCCGUGCCAGCAGCCGCGGUAAUCCGGAGGAUUCAAGCGUUAUCCGGAUUUAUUGGGUUUAAAGGGUGCGUAGGCGGUCGGAUAAGUUAGAGGUGAAAUCCCGAGGCUCAACUUCGGAAUUGCCUCUGAUACUGUUAGGCUAGAGAGUAGUUGCGGUAGGCGGAAUGUAUGGUGUAGCGGUGAAAUGCUUAGAGAUCAUACAGAACACCGAUUGCGAAGGCAGCUUACCAAGCUACGUCUGACGUUGAGGCACGAAAGCGUGGGGAGCAAACAGGAUUAGAUACCCUUGUAGUC